This is a long non-coding RNA of Rhinopithecus bieti (black snub-nosed monkey), 1618 nucleotides long. NCBI's taxonomy places the organism in Eukaryota, Metazoa, Chordata, Mammalia, Primates, Cercopithecidae. The record is from Ensembl.
UUCUCCUGAGCUUCAAAAAUUAAUGGGGUGUAUGUGUGUUUGUGUGUGUGUGUGUGUGUGUGUAAUUUUGUUUUCUCAUAGCUUUUCCACUAAAUACCUUCUACUUCCGUUUUUCUUUUGUUUUCCUUUCCUAUAGUGACAUCAACAGAAAAUUAUAAGAUUAAUUAAAUAAAAUACGAGUUUCUAUAGGGAUAAUUUAAUUCCCUGUAUUAUAAUCAUUAAAAUUUUAUGGAUGCCUAAUAUGGCUUACUGUUUUGUUUUCACCUUGUUAGUUUUUUUAAUUGUGUGUUUAUUUUAUUAAAAUAUAUUUUUCUUAUUUUCAAAGGUAAAAAGAUGGCCUAUCAGAAGAUCAAUGCAGAUCAAAGAGCUCCAGGACACUCACAGUACUUAGACAAUGAUGACCUUCAAACCACUGCCCUUGACUUAGAGUGGGACAUGGAGAAGGAACUAGAGGAGUCUGGUUUUGACCAAUUCCAGCUAGACAGUGCUGAGAGUCAGAACCUAGGGCAUUCAGAGACUAUAGAUCUCAAUCUUGAUUCCAUUCAACCAGCAACUUCACCCAAAGGAAGGUUCCGGAGACUUCAAGAAGAAUCUGACUACAUUACCCAUUAUACACGAUCUGCACCAAAGAACAAUCGCUGCAACUUUUGUCACCUCUUAAAAAUACUUUGCAUAGCCACCAUUUUAUUUAUUUUUGGGAUUUUGAUAGGUUAUUAUGUACAUACAAAUUGCCCUUCAGAUACUCCAUCUUCAGGAACAGUUGAUCCUCAGUUAUACCAAGAGAUUCUCAAGACAAUCCAGGCAGAAGAUAUUAAGAAGUCUUUCAGAAAUUUGGUACAACUGUAUAAAAGUGAAGAUGACAUGGAAAUUUCAAAGAAGAUUCAGACUCAGUGGACCUCUUUGGGCCUAGAAGAUGUACAGUUUGUAAAUUACUCUGUGCUGCUUAAUCUGCCAGACCCUUCUCCCAGCACUGUGACUCUGAGCAGCAGUGGUCAAUGCUUUCAUCCUAAUGGCCAGCCUUGCAGUGAAGAAGCCAGAAAAGAUAGCAACCAAGACCUGCUCUAUUCAUAUGCAGCCUAUUCUGCCAAAGGAAUUCUCAAGGCUGAAGUCAUCGAUGUGAGUUAUGGAAUGGCAGAUGAUUUAAAAAGGAUUAGCAAAAUAAAAAAUAUAACAAAUCAGAUCGCACUCCUGAAAUUAGGAAAAUUGCCACUGCUUUAUAAGCUUUCCUUAUUGGAAAAGGCUGGAUUUGGAGGUGUUCUUCUGUAUAUUGAUCCUUGUGAUUUGCCAAAGACUGUGAAUCCUAGCCAUGAUACCUUCAUGGUGACACUGAAUCCGGGAGGAGACCCUUCUACGCCUGGUUACCCAAGUGUUGAUGGAAGUUUUAGGCAAAGCCGAUCAAACCUCACCUCUCUGUUAGUGCAGCCCAUCUCUGCAUCACUCGUUGCAAAACUGAUCUCUUUGCCAAAAGCUAGAACCAAAAAUGAUGCCUGUAGCCUUCUAGAGCUUCCAAAUAAUGAAUAAUGUACUUGCAAAGCAAGAUGACACUCUCCAGCUGCAUUUCCAUAAUAAAUUAACAACAGGCAUGAAGUCUACGAGAAGAAUUGAGAUGUACACCAGU